This is a long non-coding RNA of Cannabis sativa, 473 nucleotides long. RefSeq lists it as uncharacterized. The record is from RefSeq and is a predicted model, not a curated record. The transcript has 3 exons. Lineage: Eukaryota; Viridiplantae; Streptophyta; Magnoliopsida; Rosales; Cannabaceae.
AUAAAGAAAUCAAUUUCUGGUGUUAUUCAUAUCUCUUGGCCGACUCUCUCUUUCUCUCUUACCCUUUCAAUUUUUCAACUUGUUUUGGUGAGGAAAAGCUUGGUUGGAGCUUGAUUCUUGGGAAAUUUAUUGUGCUAAGCUUUGAAUUGGGAAUUAAGAUUUGCGUGACUAGGAUUACCGGCACCUGAUCAGGAGCACCCGGGGAUUUGGAAUCUCUGAUAUUACAGGACAACAGGAAAGGGUAAGGCAUUAGCUGAUCAGCCAUGAGUUCAGGAGCUGGGCGAAGAAUGUACAUGUCCGAGCCAUAUUAGACCAAGCGGGUUAAGGGUCUACCAGCGAUGUAUUUUGAAACUCUAUUUUGCCGCUUAGGCCGGCUGUAAGAAAAAGACUUGUAAUAAAGUUUGUAAAUAUUUUUUGGGAUCCCAAAUGUUAUAAAGUUUAAAUUAUUACAAGUUUUAUUUCCAUUCCGUUUA